Molecule: non-coding RNA, 26 nt
Filed under: Homo sapiens (human)
Lineage: Eukaryota; Metazoa; Chordata; Mammalia; Primates; Hominidae
Source: RNAcentral
UAAUCAGCUGGGUGCAUAGGUAGACU